AUGCUCACUUAAGCAGCAAAUAUACUAAAACUGGAAGAUACAGAGAUUAGCACCACCCUUAUGUGAGGAUAACAUGCAAACUCGUGAAGCAUUCCAUAUUUUU
Manis pentadactyla (Chinese pangolin) is the source of this 103-nucleotide small nuclear RNA. Lineage: Eukaryota; Metazoa; Chordata; Mammalia; Pholidota; Manidae. The record is from RefSeq and is a predicted model, not a curated record.